ACUCCUACGGGAGGCAGCAGUGGGGAAUAUUGCACAAUGGGCGCAAGCCUGAUGCAGCCAUGCCGCGUGUAUGAAGAAGGCCUUCGGGUUGUAAAGUACUUUCAGCAGUGAGGAAGGUGGGUAUGUUAAUAGCAUACUCAUUUGACGUUAGCUGCAGAAGAAGCACCGGCUAACUCCGUGCCAGCAGCCGCGGUAAGUACGGAGGGUGCGAGCGUUAAUCGGAAUUACUGGGCGUAAAGCGCAUGCAGGUGGUUGUUAAGUCAGAUGUGAAAGCCCGGGCCCAACUCGGAAUUGCAUUUGAAACUGGCAAACUAGAGUACUGUAGAGGGGGUAGAAUUUCAGGUGUAGCGGUGAAAUGCGUAGAGAUCUAGAAGGAAUACCGGUGGCGAACGGCGGCCCCCUGGACAGAUACUGACACUCAGAUGCGAAAGCGUGGGAGCAAAC
This 444-nucleotide ribosomal RNA is filed under the name uncultured bacterium. Its description in RNAcentral is "bacterial SSU rRNA". It matches the Rfam family "Bacterial small subunit ribosomal RNA", at positions 335 to 773 of the family's 1533-position model. The record is from RNAcentral.